GAUGAAGAACGUAGCGAAAUGCGAUAAGUAAUGUGAAUUGCAGAAUUCAGUGAAUCAUCGAAUCUUUGAACGCACAUUGCGCCCGCCAGUAUUCUGGCGGGCAUGCCUGUUCGAGCGUCAUUUCAACCAUCAAGCCCCCGGGCUUGUGUUGGGGUCCUGCGGCUGCCGCAGGCCCUGAAAAGCAGUGGCGGGCUCGCUGUCACACCGAGCGUAGUAGAUUUUAUCUCGCUCAGGGCGUGCUGCGGGUUCCGGCCGUUAAACCACCUUCAUAACCCAAGGUUGACCUCGGAUCAGGUAGGAAGACCCGCUGAACUUAAGCAUAUCAAUAAGCGAGGA
This 336-nucleotide unclassified non-coding RNA is filed under the name soil metagenome. RNAcentral's name for it is "partial contains 5.8S ribosomal RNA, internal transcribed spacer 2, and large subunit ribosomal RNA". The stretch from base 1 to 120 matches the Rfam family "5.8S ribosomal RNA", at positions 35 to 154 of the family's 154-position model. The record is from RNAcentral.